Molecule: long non-coding RNA, 718 nt
Filed under: Arabidopsis lyrata
Lineage: Eukaryota; Viridiplantae; Streptophyta; Magnoliopsida; Brassicales; Brassicaceae
Description: long non-coding RNA (ALYR_LNC002404)
Source: RNAcentral
GUUUUAAGAGAGCUUUGUGUAAAGCCUAGAGAGGAGGACUCUCAACCCUAAGAGCUUGUGUUCAAGCCCUGCAAGGAGGACUUGCAAAACCCCGUCGAUAUCGUUCCCUGGAGCCGAUCUCGACCCUAUCUCUAUUGCUUCUUCGUCAGGUUUUGACGUUCUAAGCAAGAUCCGUUCUUGAAUCCGAGUUCUCGUGGAGAUCUUGUGUUCUCGUCCGUUAUUUAGCUUCCGCUCUGAUACCUGAUGCAGCGCAUCUUCAAGAUCGAACGUCGCAAGAUUCGAGGACGAAUCUUCUCUAACCUGAGGAGACUGAUGCAGCGUCAUCUAUGAUACAUGGGCUUUUAUUAUGGGCUUUAUUUACAUAUGAGCCUUUAUUUAUUAGCUUCUUAAUUAUGUUAUGGUUUUUGUUUUAUGUCUUCUAUUUAAGUAAACCUCUAGACUCGAUUGUAGGCAGCUUUUGAUUAUUGAAUAAACGAGUUUUAAGAGAGCUUUGUGUAAAGCCUAGAGAGGAGGACUCUCAACCCUAAGAGCUUGUGUUCAAGCCCUGCAAGGAGGACUUGCAAAACCCCGUCGAUAUCGUUCCCUGGAGCCGAUCUCGACCCUAUCUCUAUUGCUUCUUCGUUAGGUUUUGACGUUCUAAGCAAGAUCCGUUCUUGAAUCCGAGUUCUCGUGGAGAUCUUGUGUUCUCGUCCGUUAUUUAGCUUCCGCUCUCUAUCAC